CCCUUAGAUGUUCUGGGCCGCACGCGCGCUACACUGAUGCAUUCAACGAGUCUAAAACCUGCUCUGAUAGGGGUGGGUAAUCUUUUGAAUGUGCAUCGUGAUUGGGAUAGAUGAUUGCAAUUUUUCAUCUUCAACGAGGAAUGCCUAGUAAACGCAAGUCUUCAGCUUGCAUUGAUUACGUCCCUGCCCUUUGUACACACCGCCCGUCGCUCCUACCGAUUGAAUGAUCCGAUGAAUAUCAUGGAUUGAGGAUGCAAGCAGGUUCGCCUGUCUUCAUCUUCGAGAAGUGAAGUAAAUCUUAUCAUUUAGAGGAAGGAGAAGUCGUAACA
RNAcentral lists this ribosomal RNA (329 nucleotides) under uncultured eukaryote. RNAcentral describes it as "partial 18S ribosomal RNA". It matches the Rfam family "Eukaryotic small subunit ribosomal RNA", at positions 1470 to 1796 of the family's 1831-position model. The record is from RNAcentral.